Molecule: non-coding RNA, 1079 nt
Organism: Paramuricea clavata
Lineage: Eukaryota; Metazoa; Cnidaria; Anthozoa; Malacalcyonacea; Plexauridae
Source: the annotation of a GenBank genome assembly
CUGUAUGUAUGAAAGUAUUAUGAUUUGCAAGACAGAAGAAAGGUAAGUUUUUUGUUUAUUUAACCCCUCCCCCUGCCCUACUUUUAUUUUGACUCAGUUAUGUGCCACUAUGUUUCCACAUAAAUAUCUCAUGCUACCAAUUAUUUUUUCUAUAGUUUUGCAAUUCUGACGGAUGUGAAUGGUGCCAUGUUAACUGCUGGAUGAAACUAAAUGGUUGUUACAGCCAAAAUAUAAUAUGGAUAUGUUACUGUACAUCUCAUGAAAAUGGAUAGGAGCUUCUGGAUUAACAGAAAUGUAUUUCUAUUAAAACAAGAAUGAUUUACAAGAUUGGAUAUAUUACAAUACAUCUAAUGCAAUGGGAUAUGGAAUCUGCUAUGUAUUAUUGAAUUACUGUACUUGUUUCCAAUCUACAGUACCAUAUGGAUAUCAGGAACAUUGUACACUAUGUCUACUAUGUCAAGAUAUUACAUACCUUCAUAUGUACGGUAACCUAACAAGCUAUUGGACAAUAUGAUGGCCAACAAUGGACACUACCUGUACAUGCUAAAUAAAUACGAAACAUCUGCAUAUUGGACAAAUAACCACGAAUGGCACGGUCUCGUUUACCAAUUGGAAAAUACAGUAGACUAUUAUUACUUGGAAAGAAUAUGAAAACUUUCAACAAACUAAUCAUAUCACGUUAAAAGACAUAUGUUUGUUCUUCCUUCCUUGUCAAGUGAAGACGGUUUAAAACAUUGGUACCAACAAUAACAUGUGUAUAAAUAUGAAAAUCCGAAGUACAGUUUACAGUAUAUAAUAAUUAUUGCACUAUUAAACAAAAUAAAUUCAUACAUACAGUGUAUAUAUAUAACGCAAUUUAAAUGAAUGAAGUUUUUUGAUAUUAUCAAUCCCCAAGACUUUCGGUCGUAAGGCAGCACUUCCCUUGCGAUAGUAACUUCUAGUUUAUCCACAAUCUACCAGAUACCGAUGCUGAUCAGUUUACAAUGACGUCAUAAUAUCAGUCGACCGAGUAAAGGUGACAUCAUUCAUGUCGAUUUUUUAACGAUAAUUUCCAACGCAACAUGUUACUGCAACCAAAG